This 94-nucleotide transfer RNA is filed under the name Streptomyces sp. ISL-43. RNAcentral describes it as "tRNA-OTHER". It matches the Rfam family "tRNA". Rfam says of the family: Transfer RNA (tRNA) molecules are approximately 80 nucleotides in length. Their secondary structure includes four short double-helical elements and three loops (D, anti-codon, and T loops). RNAcentral also lists the same sequence under 1 other name. The record is from RNAcentral. Lineage: Bacteria; Bacillati; Actinomycetota; Actinomycetes; Kitasatosporales; Streptomycetaceae.
GGAGAGGUGCCCGGAGUGGUUUAUCGGGGACCUGAGUUUCGGCUCGAAGGUCGGGUUCAAUGGACCCGCGCAGGUUCGAAUCCUGCCCUCUCCG